GCUGGCGGGCUGGCGGGUGUGCGUGCUGCGGGCGCCCGCGCGGCCCGCCGACCCUAACGCUGCAGAGCCUUUCCCGGUUUACUGGGUUCCUGAUUUGCGUUUUCUGAUUAGAGUAGCGUUAGGGAACAUGACUUGAUCCGGCCUUUUGAAGCGUUGCUAAGGGAUUUUUUUCCUGCGAGUUCUUAGGUGAUCCCUCGCGUGACACUUGUUUUUAUGAUGGGAGCAGUUUGUGUGUAUCGUCCAAGCAGCUGAGGUGUCACAACCGCGUAGCAAAAAUAAGCCCUCCGUAUCCCAGCCCAAGAUUUUACUUAUUUAUUCACGAGAGACACAGGCAGAGGGAGAAGCAGGCUCCAUGCCGGGAGCCCGACGUGGGACUCAAUCCCGGGUCUCCAGGAUCACGCCCUGGACUGAAGGCGGCGCUAAACCUCCGAGCCCCCUUCGCCCCCCACCCCCCACCCCUGGCGUCCCUUUGCUGUUGUUUUUUAAGUAAAUUCUACCCCCAAGGUAGAACUGGAACUCAGGACCUCUAGAUCAAGAAUCACAUGCUCCGCACUGAGCCAGCCAGGCGCUCCGCAGAAUAUAUUCCAAACUUCAGAAUACAAGUAGAUAACCCCUUCUCAAAAAGUUUCGGAUCUGAUUUUGGUGGUAUGAAUGCACAAGUUAAAUAAUGCAAAUGCUUGUUAAUCUUAGGCUAAUGAGAGUUCAAAGGCUAAUGAGCAAUUUCAGAUCCUUAAGGAAGCCUCUGCCAGACUUGGAAGCAAACAACAAGUAAGCUGUAAGGAAAUUCUAGUCAGAGGAAAGGAUAUAAGCAGAAGCCUAAUUAUGGAAAAAGCAUACUGAAAAAAAAUUUGAGUAAUGGAAUUAAGGCAGGCUUCUUUCUGUGUUUGGCAAAGAGUUUUUAAAUUUUUGAAGAAUCAAUUAGAGCCUAGGAGAGAGUGGAACAAUUCCUCUGUCUCCCCCGAACCCCCUGCCCAAGAAAAAAAAUCAGGGAGGAAAACCAGUUAUAACUAUAGCAAAAUUUCUAGCUGAAGAUGGUGGAUUAGUGGGUCUGAAUUAUGGUAGAGACCCUGUAUAUGGAAUGGAGAUAAUUAACAAAAGAAUCCUUAAGACAAUUUUAAUGUGACGGAAAAUGCCACUAAAUAGGGAUGUCUCAUCAGAUUUGGACACUGAGAGAAUGAACAACCCAAAUACUUAAUAUGCAAAGAGGCUGAUGUUAGUCCUUUUGUUAAUAAACAGCUUUAACUGGUAACUGCA
This is a long non-coding RNA of Nyctereutes procyonoides (raccoon dog), 1254 nucleotides long. RefSeq lists it as uncharacterized. The transcript is spliced from 2 exons. The record is from RefSeq and is a predicted model, not a curated record. Lineage: Eukaryota; Metazoa; Chordata; Mammalia; Carnivora; Canidae.